RNAcentral lists this ribosomal RNA (1225 nucleotides) under metagenome. RNAcentral describes it as "SSU rRNA". It matches the Rfam family "Eukaryotic small subunit ribosomal RNA", at positions 558 to 1801 of the family's 1831-position model. The record is from RNAcentral.
AGUCUGGUGCCAGCAGCCGCGGUAAUUCCAGCUCCAAUAGCGUAUAUUAAAGUUGUUGUGGUUAAAAAGCUCGUAGUUGGAUCUCUGCUCUCAGGGGGCGGUCCGUUAUUUGACGCGACUGCCCCAUUUGAGAGUGUUUCUUCGGCGGAACUCCCGGGGUGCUCUUCGCCGAGUGUCCCGUUGGGGGCCGCCAGGUUUACUUUGAAAAAAUUAGAGUGCUCCAAGCAGGCUCGACACGCCUGAAUAUUUGUGCAUGGAAUAAUGGAAUAGGACGUCGUUCCUAUUUUGUUGGUUUUCGGGAAUCGACGUAAUGAUUAAUAGGGACAGCCGGGGGCAUUAGUAUUCAGACGACAGAGGUGAAAUUCUUGGACCGUCUGGCGACUCACUGCUGCGAAAGCGUUUGCCAAGUAUGUUUUCAUUAAUCAAGAACGAAAGUUAGAGGUUCGAAGGCGAUCAGAUACCGCCCUAGUUCUAACCAUAAACGAUGCCAGCUAGCGAUCUGCCGAUGUUUUUAUUGUAGGCUCGGCAGGAAGCUUCCGGGAAACCAAAGCGUUUGGGUUCCAGGGGAAGUAUGGUUGCAAAGCUGAAACUUAAAGAAAUUGACGGAAGGGCACCACCAGGCGUGGAACUUGCGGCUUAAUUUGACUCAACACUGGAAAUCUCACCAGGCCCGGACACCGGAAGGAUUGACAGAUUGAGAGCUCUUUCUCGAUUCGGUGGGUGGUGGUGCAUGGCCGUUCUUAGUUGGUGGAGUGAUUUGUCUGGUUAAUUCCGAUAACGAACGAGACUCCGUCCUGCUAAAUAGUUCCGACGUCACACGUGCGUCGGAAAUUCUUCUUAGAGGGACUGGCGGCAUCUAGCCGCACGAGAUGGAGCAAUAACAGGUCUGUGAUGCCCUUAGAUGUUCUGGGCUGCACGCGUGUUACACUGAAGGGAUCAGCGUGUCUUCCCUGACCGAGAGGUCCGGGUAACCCGCUGAACCCCCUUCGUGGUAGGGAUCGGAGCUUGCAAUUAUUCUCCGUGAACCAGGAAUGCCCAGUAAGCGCAAGUCAUAAGCUUGCGUUGAUUACGUCCCUGCCCUUUGUACACACCGCCCGUCGCUACUACCGAUUGAACGUUUUAGUGAGGUAUUUGGACUGGACCUCCGGAGGUUCGCGCCUCCGGUGCUGUUCGGGAAGACUCCCAAACUUGAGCGUUUAGAGGAAGUAAAAGUCGUAACAAGGUU